CCAAAUCACAACCCCCAAAAUCCAUGAUUUAUUAUUCUCUGCAGAUCCCUGAGGAAGAAAUGAAUGGUACACGAGUGUUUUUUUAUUGCUUGGAGUUCAAUUCUCACCGAAAUCAAUACCCUUUGUAAUAGUACGCCUGACUUUGACCUAACUUACCCUAUCAUCAAGUGGGAAACUUCUAUGUACUUGGACAUAACGACUUGGGUUUAGACAUAUUGGAUGCUCAAAGGUUAAGCUUCUAUAGCACAACUCCUGGUCACCCAAAAAAAAUAAUUUUUAUUACACAAUUGUAAUGCUUUUCUUUUGUGAAAGUUUUAUAAUUAUUACAUCAUAUUGCAA
Molecule: long non-coding RNA, 339 nt
Organism: Tripterygium wilfordii
Lineage: Eukaryota; Viridiplantae; Streptophyta; Magnoliopsida; Celastrales; Celastraceae
Exons: 2
Source: RefSeq, a predicted model, not a curated record